Molecule: ribosomal RNA, 271 nt
Filed under: uncultured bacterium
Lineage: Bacteria
Description: partial 16S ribosomal RNA
Rfam family: Bacterial small subunit ribosomal RNA
Source: RNAcentral
UGGUGCCUACGGGACGCAGCAGUGAGGAAUAUUGGUCAAUGGGAGAGAUCCUGAGCCAGCCACGCCGCGUGAGGGAAGACGGCCCUAUGGGUUGUAAACCUCUUUUGUCGGAGAACAAAAACCGGGACGUGUCCAGGACUGCGUGUAUCCGAAGAAAAAGCAUCGGCUAACUCCGUGCCAGCAGCCGCGGUAAUACGGAGGAUGCGAGCGUUAUCCGGAUUUAUUGGGUUUAAAGGGUGCGUAGGCGGUCCGUUAAGUCAGCGGUAAAAUU